CGUCAGGACGAACGCCUGGCGGCGUGCCUAAUACAUGCAAGUCGAACGGUCUUUCUAUGGAAGCUUGCUUCCACUGAGAAGAUAGUGGCGAACGGGUGAGUAACACGUGGGUAACCUGCCCAUAAGAGGGGGAUAACAUCCGGAAACGGGUGCUAAUACCGCAUAGUUUUCUUGAUCGCAUGAUCGGGAAAGGAAAGACGGCCUUUGUGCUGUCGCUUAUGGAUGGACCCGCGGCGUAUUAGUUAGUUGGUGAGGUAACGGCUCACCAAGACGAUGAUACGUAGCCGACCUGAGAGGGUGAUCGGCCACAUUGGGACUGAGACACGGCCCAAACUCCUACGGGAGGCAGCAGUAGGGAAUCUUCCGCAAUGGACGAAAGUCUGACGGAGCAACGCCGCGUGAGUGAAGAAAGGUUUUCGGAUCGUAAAACUCUGUUGUCAGAGAAGAACAAGUUGGAGAGUAACUGCUCCAGCCUUGACGGUAUCUGACCAGAAAGCCACGGCUAACUACGUGCCAGCCGCUGC
RNAcentral lists this ribosomal RNA (524 nucleotides) under uncultured bacterium. RNAcentral's name for it is "bacterial SSU rRNA". It matches the Rfam family "Bacterial small subunit ribosomal RNA", at positions 22 to 518 of the family's 1533-position model. The record is from RNAcentral.